This 1531-nucleotide long non-coding RNA is filed under the name Macaca mulatta (Rhesus monkey). RNAcentral describes it as "lncRNA (ENSMMUG00000058629.1)". The record is from RNAcentral. Lineage: Eukaryota; Metazoa; Chordata; Mammalia; Primates; Cercopithecidae.
AUGUCUCUAAUCCAUGAAUCUCAUCACGUUACUCCCCCAUUUACAUCACUUCUCCUUGCCUCCGGGAUUAAGUCCAGACUCCUUAACAGCCCCUGCUCUGCCCUGCCUUGCAAGGCAGCCUCACUGCUUGCCCCUCUCCAUUUCACCUACUAUGGAGUCCAGCUGAGCCUCAUCUUUCUCCUCUGGGAGUCUCUGAAGUGGGUGAUGCCCUCUGCUUAUAAUACGCUUCCCCUUAAACCUCUACUCUCUUCCUGGCUAGCUUCGGCUCCUCUGUCACUUGUCCGCUUUGGCAUCACCUCCUCACGGAAGACUUCCUUGACUCCCCAGAUUCUCAGGAGCAUGGCAGGGAAUGGAUUCCAGAGUCAUUCUGUGACCUUUACGUUCUGUGACCUCCUUAUUAGCAUCUAAAAGCUUCCAGUGUAGGAUGCAGCCAGCUAGGUUCUCUUCUAAUGUAAUAAAAUCUGCUUCAGCAAAGCUUAUACAGAGCCAUCUCCAGACUCCAGAAAUAAUAGGCUAUAAAUUACAGGAUCUCCCAUUUGAUAUAAUGAAGUAUAAGCACGCUCCUGAAUGACUCCUCUACAUACUACUCUGAGUGACUUGAAGUGAAUCUGAUACAAGUACUGGAGCGAGCGCAAAGCAGAGCUACAUCUAGGAUUAAUGUGCUUGGGCCCAGCUCCUCACUACUCACCUAUGAGUACAGUUCCAGAACCUAAGUAGAGGGUGGGGGAACAAGGCUCCUGGCUUUUUUCCCUAAUGCCUGACAUCUCUUUCAGAUUUCUUAUUUCUUUGCAAAGAAACUAAACAGGCACGACUAAAAAAACUAAACGAUUAAACCCUACACAGAGAAUCUCCAAAAAUUCACAAAAUAUCAUUCAAGACUGUUAGAAAGACAGCCUUGAGGAUAACUUGAUGUACCAGUGAUCUACAAUAUUUGGGAUCAUUCCAAAUUCCCGUCAAGGAUCUGCCUAUAUCAACACAGGGACAAAGGACCAACCAUUCAAAUAGGCCCUGCUGCCAAAAUGCCAUCUCUUCAUAUUGUUCCAUUUAACAAAACUGCAGCCUGUCAUCUAUCCUUAAGUCCCUUGGCCAAUGGUACAGAGCCAGAGUAUGCUGCUCCCUAGCAGGAAAUCAACAGGAUGACCUACUAAACACCAUUCAGAAGAUGCUAAGGCCCAUGAAUUGCAACAGGAAAGAAAAGACACAUAAUUAGUCAGACAGGUACAUGCUGGGCCAAAAAUGCACUACAACCCCCACCCAAUUCUGCCUAAUCCUAGCUGGGCUGACACCAACCUGAUGAGACAGGCCUGUAAGAUCUCAAACUAAAACAGAAACUCCUGAACUGGGUUCUUGAGAACCCAGGAAGCAGCAGUAAACCAUUAAAGAACAAUUAAGGUCUGGAGGUGAGGGGGGAGUUUCAGAUAAAUGAAAUGCUGGUAGAACACAGGGCCCAAAGGAGCAAAAGUUAACCUAAGCCCAGGUAGAACCUUGUUUACCAGAGUACUAGGCACGGGGUGUGGCAACUAUUCUAACC